Molecule: ribosomal RNA, 253 nt
Filed under: uncultured bacterium
Lineage: Bacteria
Description: partial 16S ribosomal RNA
Rfam family: Bacterial small subunit ribosomal RNA
Source: RNAcentral
UACGUAGGGGGCAAGCGUUGUCCGGAUUCAUUGGGCGUAAAGAGCGUGUAGGCGGCCAGGUAGGUCGGUUGUGAAAACUGGAGGCUCAACCUUCAGAGGUCGACCGAAACCAUCUGGCUAGAGUACGGGAGAGGCGAGUGGAAUUCCUGGUGUAGCGGUGAAAUGCGCAGAUAUCAGGAGGAACACCGAUUGCGAAGGCAGCUCGCUGGAACGUUACUGACGCUGAGACGCGAAAGCGUGGGGAGCAAACAGG